Molecule: ribosomal RNA, 274 nt
Filed under: uncultured bacterium
Lineage: Bacteria
Description: partial 16S ribosomal RNA
Rfam family: Bacterial small subunit ribosomal RNA
Source: RNAcentral
AUACGGAGGGGGCUAGCGUUGUUGGGAAUUACUGGGCGUAAAGCGCGCGUAGGCGGACCAGUCAGUCAGGGGUGAAAUCCCGGGGCUCAACCCCGGAACUGCCUUUGAUACUGCUGGUCUUGAGUUCGAGAGAGGUGAGUGGAAUUCCGAGUGUAGAGGUGAAAUUCGUAGAUAUUCGGAGGAACACCAGUGGCGAAGGCGGCUCACUGGCUCGAUACUGACGCUGAGGUGCGAAAGCGUGGGGAGCAAACAGGAUUAGAUACCCUAGUAGUCC